GUCCAUGCCGUAAACGGUGGGCGCUAGGUGUAGGGGACUUCCACGUCUUCUGUGCCGCAGCUAACGCAUUAAGCGCCCCGCCUGGGGAGUACGGCCGCAAGGCUAAAACUCAAAGGAAUUGACGGGGCCCGCACAAGCGGCGGAGCAUGUGGAUUAAUUCGAUGCAACGCGAAGAACCUUACCUGGGCUUGACAUACACCAGAUCGCUGCAGAGAUGUAGCUUCCCUUGUGGCUGGUGUACAGGUGGUGCAUGGUUGUCGU
Molecule: ribosomal RNA, 261 nt
Filed under: uncultured bacterium
Lineage: Bacteria
Description: partial 16S ribosomal RNA
Rfam family: Bacterial small subunit ribosomal RNA
Source: RNAcentral